This 425-nucleotide ribosomal RNA is filed under the name uncultured bacterium. RNAcentral's name for it is "bacterial SSU rRNA". It matches the Rfam family "Bacterial small subunit ribosomal RNA", at positions 354 to 796 of the family's 1533-position model. The record is from RNAcentral.
GUGAGGAAUUUUGCGCAAUGGGGGCAACCCUGACGCAGCGACGCCGCGUGGAGGACGAAGUCUUUCGGGAUGUAAACUCCUGUCAGUGGGGACGAUAAUGACGGUACCCACAGAGGAAGCACCGGCUAACUCCGUGCCAGCAGCCGCGGUAAGACGGAGGGUGCAAGCGUUGUUCGGAAUUACUGGGCGUAAAGCGUAUGUAGGCGGCAAGUUAAGUUCAAUGUUAAAGCCCACGGCUCAACCGAGGAGAUGCAUUGAAUACUGGCUAGCUAGAGGGUGUUAGAGGAAGACGGAAUUCCCAGUGUAGCGGUGAAAUGCGUAGAUAUUGGGAGGAACAUCGGUAGCGAAAGCGGUCUUCUGGGACAUACCUGACGCUGAGGUACGAAAGCGUGGGGAGCAAACGGGAUUAGAUACCCGAGUAGUCC